AACCCCUGUGACAUACCAAUUGUUGCCUCGGCGGAUCAGCCCGCUCCCGGUAAAACGGGACGGCCCGCCAGAGGACCCCUAAACUCUGUUUCUAUAUGUAACUUCUGAGUAAAACCAUAAAUAAAUCAAAACUUUCAACAACGGAUCUCUUGGUUCUGGCAUCGAUGAAGAACGCAGCAAAAUGCGAUAAGUAAUGUGAAUUGCAGAAUUCAGUGAAUCAUCGAAUCUUUGAACGCACAUUGCGCCCGCCAGUAUUCUGGCGGGCAUGCCUGUUCGAGCGUCAUUUCAACCCUCAAGCCCCCGGGCUUGGUGUUGGGGAUCGGCGAGCCUCACGGCAAGCCGGCCCCGAAAUACAGUGGCGGUCUCGCUGCAGCUUCCAUUGCGUAGUAGUAAAACCCUCGCAACUGGUACGCGGCGCGGCCAAGCCGUUAAACCCCCAACUUCUGAAUGUUGACCUCGGAUCAGGUAGGAAUACCCGCUGAACUUAAGC
This 490-nucleotide ribosomal RNA is filed under the name Fusarium oxysporum f. sp. lycopersici. RNAcentral describes it as "eukaryotic LSU rRNA". The stretch from base 130 to 283 matches the Rfam family "5.8S ribosomal RNA". Lineage: Eukaryota; Fungi; Ascomycota; Sordariomycetes; Hypocreales; Nectriaceae. The record is from RNAcentral.